CGACGGGUGAGUAACGCGUGGGUAACCUGCCCUGUACAGGGGGAUAACAGUUGGAAACGGCUGCUAAAACCGCAUAACAUGGAGAUACCGCAUGAUAUUUCCAUCAAAUAUUUAUAGGUACAGGAUGGGCCCGCGUCUGAUUAGCCAGUUGGCAGGGUAAUGGCCUACCAAAGCGACGAUCAGUAGCCGGCUUGAGAGAGUGACCGGCCACAUUGGGACUGAGACACGGCCCAAACUCCUACGGGAGGCAGCAG
RNAcentral lists this ribosomal RNA (254 nucleotides) under uncultured bacterium. Its description in RNAcentral is "partial 16S ribosomal RNA". It matches the Rfam family "Bacterial small subunit ribosomal RNA", at positions 100 to 354 of the family's 1533-position model. The record is from RNAcentral.